Molecule: long non-coding RNA, 3118 nt
Filed under: Aotus nancymaae (Ma's night monkey)
Lineage: Eukaryota; Metazoa; Chordata; Mammalia; Primates; Aotidae
Description: lncRNA (ENSANAG00000038553.1)
Source: RNAcentral
GGCCAGUUCAGGUGGAGGAAGCCUGCUUUGGGCUGAAGGCCGGAGGUGGCUCUGGACCAGUAAGUAGCUGGGUGGGACUGGAGCCAUGGGGGUGAAGGAGGAGAUGGGGUUGAAAUGGUGGGUGGGGCCAAGAAGGGACAGAGUUUCAAUAGCUGGCCUGUGAGCGUGGGAGGCUUGGGAAGCUUGUGAGCUAGAAAUUGACCUGGCCCUGUCCUCCCGCAGCAGGUUAGGGACGGAGAGACGGUGGUGAGUGAGGGCUGGCUGGUGGACUGGAGGGACAGCAGUAAGGGUCCAGGCCUCAGCAGUGUCAGAGACAAAGCGGGGAUGAGAGCAGGUGCCACUGGGGAGGUGGAGUUGACAGCAUGGGGGCAGAAUGCUUGUGGGGUAAGAGACGGUGCACCCUGGAUGAUGUCAGCAGUGUAAGCCUGAGCUAGGCAAGUGGUCAUUCUUUCCCUAAUUAUUUAGCACUGACUUCUUGAGUGUCUCCCCUGUGCUAAGAUCUGGGUGCAGUGAAUAAGCUGAGAUGGAGAACACAGGAGGGGUUCUGGUGAGUUCCUGGAAUUGCCUAAGUCUUGUGCUUGCAAAAUCUUCUACUUGACCUCUAGAGAAGGGGAUUUGGAGUGAGGUAGAGAGGCCAGGGGUGGUGCUUUGUGUAUUUAAACAGUGUUGACUAGGUUCCUGCCGCACAUCCCGUAAUACCAGGUUGUGGGGAUAAAUGCAUGCGUGGAGUCUCGCUGCUCGGCCAUGUGGGAGACAAGCAUAUGAAGAAAUGACGGGACAAUGUCAGCGGUGCUACAAGACAGGUGGAAUCAGAGAUUUCUGGCUGACUUGGUGGGUGCUUUGAACCAGGAAAGGACAAGAAAGAGGAUGGGAAGGAGGACUGAUCAAGGGCUGCUCUCCCUCAUCCACAUUCCCACCAGGAAGCUUAGAGGAACCCAUGCAUGCCACCUGGACCCCCUGGAAGGACCUGGCUAAGGCUAGACCAUCUCUUGAGAGGCAAGAGCUCCAGAUUUGAUUAAGAAUUCUUGGCUGGGCAUGGUGCCUCAUGCCUAUAAUCCCAACACUUGGAGGCUGAAGUGGUAGGAUCGCUUGAGCCCAGGAGUUCAAGACCAGCCUGGGCAACAGGGGGAGACCCCCAUCUCAAAAAAAUAUAUAUAUAAUAAAAAAUUAGCAGGGCAUGGUGGCAUGUGCCUGUAGUCCCAGCUACCCAAGAGGCUGAGGCAAGAGGAUGACUGAUAUCUGGGAAGUCAAGGCUGCAAUGAACUGUGAUCACCCCACUGCACUCCAGCCUGGGCGACAGAACGAGACCCUGUCUCAAAAAAAAAAAAAAAAUCUUAAAAGAAACCUCUGUAUUUGAGGAGCCAUUUGGGUAGAAAGCAAAGACCCUGACACUGAGAAAUAGUCUGACCUGAAGGAGCAGAGGGAUGCAAUGCUGGAGGUGACCUACAGUUGGAGAAGCCUCAUCAUGCCAGACCUCGUCCUUCUUCCUUGUGGAAAAUGUUUCCUCUGCUGCUACUGCUCAUGAGACUCUUCCCUCACCCCGUCCCAGGCAACCAAAGGGCUUUCUACUACACCCUUUCUUGCCCCCUGCCUCCCACGUCUGCUGUGCCUUUGUACUUAGCAAUUCUUCUUGUUUGCUCCAUUAUCUUCCAGCCGGAUACAGAGUGAAUAGUUAACCACACUUAGGUCAAAUGGGAUCUUAAUCUUUGUUCCUGCUCCAUCUAAAGAGGCCAGUGUUUUGUGCAUUGCAAGCAGGCUUGGAGUAGUGACUCUUCUCAUUUGCUUGGUAUCUGGCCACCAGUUUCCAGAAUAAUACACAGAUCAGUGCAAAGGUUCAUCAGGCUCUCAGACCUUAGUGCUGUUGGAGAUGGCUUCAGCAGGGGAACUGAUGGAGAAGACUGGUGUUCUCCAUCCUCAGCUUUCUUUGCUUGGAUCACAUACAAGUGUACUUUUGGAAGGGCAAAAAGUGAACAGUGUUGCUCACUGCAGCCAUCUUCUGUGACACAGAUGUACAGUCUGCUGUGAAGAUCUUCUCUCAAGUGGCAGUUGGGGGUCCAUGCCAGAUCAUGAUGCUUCAUGACAGACUAACCAGCUACCAGGGGUGGUGGCGCUUAGUGAGGACCGAGGACCCUCCUCCUCAGUGUGUGCUGAUGACACAUACACGCCUGACAAUAGCUGGAGUCUUCUCUGUUCCUUUUACUCUGUAGCCAACAUACGCAUGACUUAAAACACUUUCUAAAUAUCUGUCAUGGUUCACCCUAGUCCAAAUGCAGAGUCAAAGCUGUUUGUACUUUAUUAUUAUCUCCAAGGGGAAUAGAUGGCUUGGUUUUUGCAAAAAGAAUUAAAGGUUUUGUAUAUUGCAGUUGAUGUGCUUGUACGACCAUUGAGUGACGUCGGUUUCUUCUAAGUAGAGCAACGGGGUGCUUGUGGACAUCUCAGAUUCAUCACAAAAUGAUUGAGGAGAAUCUCUUGAAGAUGUUUAGAGCUAUUGAAAUUUACAGACUGUUGAUGGGCUUUCACCUUCUUUCCUUCCUUGACACACAGUUACAGGCAAUGUAUUCCUUGGAUUCUUAAAGGUGUCAAGGAACAGAGAUCAUAAAUGCUGGUUUAUUCCAGAGUCGCAGUGAUGGUAAGGUAGACAGGAAACAGUCCCAGCCACUGCCUUGCUAAGCCUUUUCAGAAAGCCCAAGGUCAUUCAGCAGACGCAGUAGCACUAGUUGGUUUCCAAGGAUAACAAGAGCAAUCACAUAUGGCCAUCUUGGUCCUCUGUUCAGUAGCAGGGUUCGCUGCCCCUGACUCUAGAACUCUGCUGUUGUGAUGAGCUGAGGGUGACCGACUGUCCCAGUUUGCCCAGAACUGAAGGGUUUCUUGGGAUGAAGGACAUUCAGUGCUAAACCUGGGAUAGUCCUGGGCAAACGAGGACCACUGGUCACCCACCUGGGUGACUCAACGACCCAGCCUCUACUUUGCUACUUAUAUAACAGACUGAUGCUGUUGAUUGGUUUAGCCAAUCUGCAUUUAGAGCUCUUGCCUCUGGUUACUUCUUUGGCCCUCGGACAACCACAGACGGAUGCCAUUGGAUCAGGUACCAAUGCCAACCAAAUCAAUUGUUUCCAGG